AGAGUUUGAUCAUGGCUCAGAACGAACGCUGGCGGCGUGGAUAAGACAUGCAAGUCGAGCGCUGAUUACGAGGUAGCAAUAUUUCGUAGUCGGAGCGGCGCAAGGGUGCGUAACACGUGGGUAAUCUGCCAUGAAGUCGGGGACAACUUGCUGAAAGGCGAGCUAAUACCGGAUGUGAAAAUUGAAAGGCAUCUUUUGAUUUUCAAAGUUGGGGACCGUAAGGCCUGACGCUUCAUGAUGAGCCCGCGGCCUAUCAGCUAGUUGGUGAGGUAACGGCUCACCAAGGCUAAGACGGGUAGCUGGUCUGAGAGGACGACCAGCCACACUGGAACUGAGACACGGUCCAGACACCUACGGGUGGCAGCAGUCGAGAAUUUUUCACAAUGGGCGAAAGCCUGAUGGAGCGACGCCGCGUGGGGGAUGAAUGGCUUCGGCCCGUAAACCCCUGUCAUUUGCGAUCAAACCUUAUUAUUUAAAAGAUGAUGAGCUGAUAGUAGCGAAAGAGGAAGGGACGGCUAACUCUGUGCCAGCAGCGGCGGUAAUAC
Molecule: ribosomal RNA, 545 nt
Filed under: uncultured bacterium
Lineage: Bacteria
Description: bacterial SSU rRNA
Rfam family: Bacterial small subunit ribosomal RNA
Source: RNAcentral